GCUUGUCUCAAAGAUUAAGCCAUGCAUGUCUAAGUAUAAACAAAUUUAUACCGUGAAACUGCGAAUGGCUCAUUAUAUCAGUUAUAGUUUAUUUGAUGGUCCUUGCUACUUGGAUAACCGUAGUAAUUCUAGAGCUAAUACAUGCAUCAAACCCCAACUUCUGGAAGGGGUGUAUUUAUUAGAUGGAAACCAAUGCGGGGCAACCCGGAAUAUGGUGAAUCAUAAUAACUGUCGUAUCGAGCAAUCGAAGCGCCAUACAAGUUUCUGCCCUAUCAGCUUUGGAUGGUAGGGUAUUGGCCUACCAUGGCUUUAACGGGUAACGGAGAAUUAGGGUUCGAUUCCGGAGAGGGAGCCUGAGAAACGGCUACCACAUCCAAGGAAGGCAGCAGG
RNAcentral lists this ribosomal RNA (390 nucleotides) under uncultured Chrysophyceae. RNAcentral's name for it is "partial small subunit ribosomal RNA". It matches the Rfam family "Eukaryotic small subunit ribosomal RNA", at positions 30 to 432 of the family's 1831-position model. The record is from RNAcentral. Lineage: Eukaryota; Chrysophyceae.